RNAcentral lists this long non-coding RNA (697 nucleotides) under Struthio camelus australis. RNAcentral's name for it is "lncRNA (ENSSCUG00000002463.1)". The record is from RNAcentral. Lineage: Eukaryota; Metazoa; Chordata; Aves; Struthioniformes; Struthionidae.
CUUCCUGGAGCUUUAGCUCUUCCUUUAGUUCCAUCUCUUGCUCCUCUCUAGCAGCAUUGGUACUGUCUGUAUUUCCACUACCAGAAGUGCUUGUGUUUUAAUUCCUGCUCUGAACUGUGAAAGAGGGAUAGCCAAAAGUACUCUCCACAGCUGUGUUGAGCCAGGGUUGGUAUGGAUCUUAAGAGGCACAACCUUUCUGGCUACAUCUACAGGAGGUAAAGACAUGGAUCAUGGACUGUUCUCUGGCAGGGAGUUCAACUGAGCUUUGACCCAAGUACAUCUGCCAGCUUUGACCAGAGUUUUAUGGCAGAGAGAGAAAAGGAUGGCUCCUUAAAAAAACACCACAGUUAUGUCAUGCUGCAGACAAGAAGAAAGACCUUGGCUGUUGUGAGCUGUAAUGGACCUAUAGGAGUUGUCCUAUAGGACCAAUGGCUAUGCUAACCUCCACCCAGCCAACAGCACUCUUUGCUAUCUGAUGACCGCUUUCAAGAGAAGGACGAGAUCACUUUCACCACCUUGUGUUAUACCUCAGGCACUGUCUGCAGAACGAGCCAUAAUGGAAGUUCAGAUCAUGACCUUCUACUUCAAGAGAACAAAGUCAAGGAGGAAUAAGAUCGUCUCCUACAGAAAGAAAGACUUCGAAGGUUUUCCUGCAGUCUACAUCAGUAGCAAUCAGAUUCUAUUAAUGUGGGAGUGA